GACGUCACGGGCGGCGCCUCACGGCCAGGACCAUGAAAGGCACUGAAUACAUCUGAAAGGCUGUGGGGCAGAUGCCUAUAUAUUUCACUUGGAAGGGAAAAUAAACGAUGUUGUUCAAACCUUGUGAGAUGUACCUAUCCAGGUACGCUUCCUGCCAGCAUGGGUGAAGUUUUCCAUUGUGUAAACUCCUUGAAGAUGCAAACGCUUCAUUUGAGCUCACGUGAUGUUUGGAAAGGUUCCAUUAUGGCAGUAACAAGCGCAACCCUGAAAACAUGUGCAAGUCCAGUUACAGACAUUAAGCUUGUUAGCAAACAGUAAUUCUUGACAGACGGAUUGAAAGAGCAGAGAAACAACUCCCCCCAGAUGCUUGAAAGUCAGACUUCUGGCCUCCAGCCAAAGAGCUGCUCCAGAGCCUUUCUCCUCCCAUGAUCAGGCAGUCUCCCAGUUGUCAAAAAAAGCAUCGGUUCAGCCAGUUUGUGCCUACUGAUAGUUUACAUGCCUGCACCUCAGUAAGUGGUUAAUGUAUCUAUCUAAUGUGGUAGCU
This 544-nucleotide long non-coding RNA is filed under the name Gallus gallus (chicken). RNAcentral's name for it is "long non-coding RNA NONGGAT003860". The record is from RNAcentral. Lineage: Eukaryota; Metazoa; Chordata; Aves; Galliformes; Phasianidae.